UUUCCGAUAGACCCCCGGCUCGAGACACGCGGUACCACACAAACACAUAGUAAAGCACAGCACAAGGUUACAAGAUUACAUAACAUAAAUACGGCACCCAUAAGUAAUAUAAAACAAAGGAAAGCACACAGCUUCAUAAUAAAACAUGGGACACGGACUCCUAACAGGAAUAAACCCCCACCAAGUAGUUCCCUAUACUAGCGACUCAGACUGGCCCUAGUCCACUGCCCUGAUUCGCGUCCUCCAGACCUUCCUAUCUAGGGUCAUGUGGGUCUGGGGGGGGUUAGAAUGUACGCAGUCCAUACUUCUACCUCUGAAGAAGUAGAAAGGCUGUUUCCGAUAGACCCCCGGCUCGAGACACGCGGUACCACACAAACACAUAGUAAAGCACAGCACAAGGUUACAAGAUUACAUAACAUAAAUACGGCACCCAUAAGUAAUAUAAAAUAAAGGAAAGCACACAGCUUCAUAAUAAAACAUGGGACACGAACUCCUAACAGGAAUAAACCCCCACCAAGUAGUUCCCUAUACUAGCGACUCAGACUGGCCCUAGUCCACUGCCCUGAUUCGCGUCCUCCAGACCUUCCUAUCUAGGGUCAUGUCCUCAGUGAGCUGUAACUGCUCCAUGUCUCGCCUAAUCACCUCACCACAGUAAAAGGGUGAGUUUUUCAACUCAUGCAGAAAAAUCGACAAGGAAGAGUUACGAAAAUUCAGAUUAGCAUAAAAGCUUCUAAACUUCACAGAUCAUUGAACUGAUGAAAUGCUGAACCAGAAGGGAAAAGGGAGGAUUUUUCAACUCUAUAUGAAUUAAAUCGAAAAGGAAAAACCCCACACCCAAAAAAGAGCUAUCAAGUUACCAGAAUUCAGAUUAGCAUAAAAGCUAUACUUCACAGAUCAUUGAACCGAUGAAAUGACGAACCAGAAACACUAGCAUAAAAGCUAAACCUCACAGAUCAUUGAAUUAAUGAAAUGCUGGACCAGAACACUAAGCUAAAACAGGAGAAUUUUUCAACUAUGUAGGAACAAAAGUCAAAAGGAAAAACACCAGACCAAAAGAAGACCACUCGAGUAAGCAGAAUUCAGCUUAACAUAAAAGCUAACUUCACAGAUCAUUGAACCAGUGACAUGCCGAACCAUAAACAAUCUAAUAAGUAAACAAGGGAGAAUUUUUCAACACUAUGAACAAAAACAGAAAAGGAAAAAACACACACCACAAAAAGACCAGUCUAAGUUACCAGAAUUCAGAUUAGAGCUUAACUUUACAGAUCAUUGAACCGAUGAAAUGCUGAAACAUAAACAAUGUAAGCAAAAAGGGGAUAUUUUUUCAACUAUGUAAGAACAAAAAGCGAAUAAGGAACAAAAAACGAAAAGGAAAAAACCCACACCACAAAAAGACCAGUCUAAGCUACCAGAAUUCAGAUUAGAGCUAAACUUUACAAUCAUUGAACCUAUGAAAUGUUGAACCAUAAACAAUAUAAGUAAAAAGGGCAUUUUUUUUUAUUUUUGAUAACCGUGAUGUCCGGGCCAGCUUGCGCGCACCUCGACUAAAUCCACGGAAUACCUGCUACCUCCCACCAGCAACAGGUAUCAGGCAACUCUGUCCACCAAGGCUAGAACAGAUGGGAAGAAAACACCUAGUGUUUGUCUCAGCUGGAAAUUGAACCUGAGACCUCAUGGUGUUCAUCCUAAUUUCAUUGAACCACUAGGCCACACCCUGAUAUUUUUUCAACUAGGUAAAGAACAAAAAUCUAAUAAGGAAAAUCCCCACACCAAAAAACCACCAGUUUAAGUCACCAGAAUUCAGAUUAGAGCUAAAAACAUCACAGAUCAUCCAACCAAUAAAAUGCCAAACCAGAAAACCAAAAAUCUAAGUAAAAAAGGUGGGAUUUUUCAACUAUGUAGCAACAAAAAUCAAAUAAGGAAAAACCCCACACCACAAAAAGAUCAGUCUAAGUUACCAGAAUUCACAUUAGAGAGCUGAACAAACUUCACAGAUAAAUAAUAUAAGUAGAAAGGAUAGAAUUUUUCAACUAUAUAGGAACAACAAUAAAAAAAGCAAAAACC
This 2064-nucleotide long non-coding RNA is filed under the name Capsicum annuum. RNAcentral describes it as "long non-coding RNA (CANN_LNC018408)". The record is from RNAcentral. Lineage: Eukaryota; Viridiplantae; Streptophyta; Magnoliopsida; Solanales; Solanaceae.